Molecule: long non-coding RNA, 209 nt
Organism: Gordionus sp. m RMFG-2023
Lineage: Eukaryota; Metazoa; Nematomorpha; Gordioida; Chordodea; Parachordodidae
Exons: 3
Source: RefSeq, a predicted model, not a curated record
ACAAAUGUCAAGCAACAUCACCUCUACAAACUACUAGUAAUACUACAUCAGAAAUUUCAGAAACUGAUUCUUCUCAUAAUAUGAAUGAAGCUAAUCUAGAAAAUCAAGAGGAGGAAGAUGGAGUAGGAGAUUAUGGUGUUUCAUUAUUACAUUUUGAUUUUAAAACAAAUAAAGACGAAGAAGAGACUCAAUCAUCUUCAUCUAGCAGC